RNAcentral lists this ribosomal RNA (505 nucleotides) under uncultured bacterium. RNAcentral describes it as "partial 16S ribosomal RNA". It matches the Rfam family "Bacterial small subunit ribosomal RNA", at positions 28 to 507 of the family's 1533-position model. The record is from RNAcentral.
GACGAACGCUGGCGGCGUGCCUAAUACAUGCAAGUAGAACGCACAGUUUAUACCGUAGCUUGCUACACCAUAGACUGUGAGUUGCGAACGGGUGAGUAACGCGUAGGUAACCUGCCUGGUAGCGGGGGAUAACUAUUGGAAACGAUAGCUAAUACCGCAUAAUAUUAAUUAUUGCAUGAUAAUUGAUUGAACGAUGCAACUGCAUCACUACCAGAUGGACCUGCGUUGUAUUAGCUAGUAGGUGAGGUAACGGCUCACCUAGGCGACGAUACAUAGCCGACCUGAGAGGGUGAUCGGCCACACUGGGACUGAGACACGGCCCAGACUCCUACGGGAGGCAGCAGUAGGGAAUCUUCGGCAAUGGACGAAAGUCUGACCGAGCAACGCCGCGUGAGUGAAGAAGGUUUUCGGAUCGUAAAGCUCUGUUGUAAGAGAAGAACGGGUGUGAGAGUGGAAAGUUCACACUGUGACGGUAUCUUACCAGAAAGGGACGGCUAACUACGUG